GACGAACGCUGGCGGCGUGCUUAACACAUGCAAGUCGAACGGAAAGGCACUGCUUUGGUGGGGUGCGCGAGUGGCGAACGGGUGAGUAACACGUGGGUAACCUGCCCUUGACGGUGGGAUAACUGCAGGAAGCUGGGGCUAAUACCCGAUAGGACCUCCGGCUGCAUGGGGGGGGCUGGAAAGUUUCGGCGGUUGGGGUUGGGCUCGCGGCUUAUCCGCUUGUUGGUGGGGUAGUGGCUUAACAAGGCUUUGACGGGUAGCCGGCCUGAGGGGGUGACCGGCCACAUUGGGACUGAGAGACGGCCCAGUGUCCUACGGGAGGCAGCAGUGGGGAACAUUGUACAAUGAGCGCACGCCUGAUGCAGCAACGCUGCGUGCGGGAUGCCGGCCUGCGGGUUGUAAACCGCUUUCGCCUGUUACGAAGCGUGAGUGACGGUAAUGGGUGAAGAAGCACCGGCUAACUACGUG
Molecule: ribosomal RNA, 468 nt
Filed under: uncultured bacterium
Lineage: Bacteria
Description: partial 16S ribosomal RNA
Rfam family: Bacterial small subunit ribosomal RNA
Source: RNAcentral